This 440-nucleotide ribosomal RNA is filed under the name uncultured bacterium. RNAcentral's name for it is "partial 16S ribosomal RNA". It matches the Rfam family "Bacterial small subunit ribosomal RNA", at positions 338 to 795 of the family's 1533-position model. The record is from RNAcentral.
CCUACGGGUGGCAGCAGUAGGGAAUAUUGCGCAAUGGGCGAAAGCCUGACGCAGCAACACCGCGUGAAUGAUAAGCGCUUCGGGGUUUAAAGCUUUGUUAAUAGGGACGAAUUUAGACUGUACUUAUAAAUGAAUCACCGGCUAACACCGUGCCAGCAGCAGCGGUAAUACGGAGGGUGCAAGCGUCGUCCGGCUUCAUUGGGGGUAAAGCGUUCGUAGGCGGCAAGGUAAGUAUGAUGUUAAAGCCCGGGGCUCAACUCCGGUUCGGCAUUGGAUACUAGCUAGCUAGAGUGUGGUAGAGGUAAGGGGAAUUCCGGGUGUAGCGGUGAAAUGCGUAGAUAUCAGGAGGAACACCGGUGGCGAAGGCGCUUUACUGGACCAUUAUUGACGCUGAGGAACGAAAGCGAGGGGAGCAAAUGGGAUUAGAUACCCCUGUAGUC